GAGGAUGUACCUCAGUGGCAGAGUACUUGCCUGGCAUGCAUGAGGCCCUGGGCUCAAUCUCCAGUAUCUCA
Molecule: transfer RNA, 71 nt
Filed under: Heterocephalus glaber (naked mole-rat)
Lineage: Eukaryota; Metazoa; Chordata; Mammalia; Rodentia; Bathyergidae
Rfam family: tRNA
About the family: Transfer RNA (tRNA) molecules are approximately 80 nucleotides in length. Their secondary structure includes four short double-helical elements and three loops (D, anti-codon, and T loops).
Source: Rfam by way of RNAcentral